UACUGUGGAUUCAUUUUUAUUCGUGGUAUACCAAUUUUCGUGGGUUUCGUGGGUGACAGCGAACCACGAAUUUAAGAAUUCAACGAAGAAUAAUCCCGAGAAAUGUGUAUGGAGUCGGAUGUUUAUUUCCGGUUAUGUUAUGCAGUUCUAGUAUAGUGUUGACUAGCGAUAAACAUUGUAACAUAGCACAUGUUUUUUUAUUGAAAGAAGAUACAAAUAUUUUAAUUAAAUCAAUAAUAAAUAUAUCGAAUAUCAGUGAUAAUUUACUUUCUAAAAUUGAUUAACACUGUUCAUGGAAAAUAACUG
Molecule: long non-coding RNA, 306 nt
Filed under: Mytilus galloprovincialis (Mediterranean mussel)
Lineage: Eukaryota; Metazoa; Mollusca; Bivalvia; Mytilida; Mytilidae
Source: RNAcentral